AGGGGAGAAACAUAAAGGAUAUGUGGUUGGCUUGAAACCAGUUUUAGGUGGUUCAAUUCCCCCCUCCCUUG
RNAcentral lists this transfer RNA (71 nucleotides) under Takydromus tachydromoides. RNAcentral's name for it is "tRNA-Ser". It matches the Rfam family "tRNA". Rfam says of the family: Transfer RNA (tRNA) molecules are approximately 80 nucleotides in length. Lineage: Eukaryota; Metazoa; Chordata; Lepidosauria; Squamata; Lacertidae. The record is from RNAcentral.